Parelaphostrongylus tenuis is the source of this 73-nucleotide non-coding RNA. Lineage: Eukaryota; Metazoa; Nematoda; Chromadorea; Rhabditida; Metastrongylidae. The record is from the annotation of a GenBank genome assembly.
GCGUCGCUACUGCAACGGUUUAGCAGGCUUUCCCGAAAAGAGUGGGAUCUGGGUUCAAAUCUCGGCUGACGUA